This 28-nucleotide small RNA is filed under the name Bombyx mori (domestic silkworm). Its description in RNAcentral is "ovarian small RNA-1919". Lineage: Eukaryota; Metazoa; Arthropoda; Insecta; Lepidoptera; Bombycidae. The record is from RNAcentral.
UAGUACAAAUGAUGUGCGUUUCCGCUAC